GAUGAAGAACGCAGCGAAAUGCGAUAAGUAGUGUGAAUUGCAGAAUUCAGUGAAUCAUCGAAUCUUUGAACGCACAUUGCGCCCUUUGGUAUUCCUUAGGGCAUGCCUGUUCGAGCGUCAUUUAAACCUUCAAGCUAAGCUUGGUGUUGGGUGACUGUCUGCUUCACGGCGGACUCGCCUCAAAAUUAUUGGCGGCCGGUACAUUGGCUUCGAGCGCAGCAGAAACGCGAACUCGGGCCCGUCGUAUUGGCUCCCAGAAGCUAUCUUCACAAUUUUGACCUCGGAUCAGGUAGGGAUACCCGCUGAACUUAAGCAUAUCAAUAAGCGGAGGA
RNAcentral lists this unclassified non-coding RNA (332 nucleotides) under soil metagenome. RNAcentral's name for it is "partial contains 5.8S ribosomal RNA, internal transcribed spacer 2, and large subunit ribosomal RNA". The stretch from base 1 to 120 matches the Rfam family "5.8S ribosomal RNA", at positions 35 to 154 of the family's 154-position model. The record is from RNAcentral.